UACGGAGGGUGCGAGCGUUAAUCGGAAUGACUGGGCGUAAAGGGUGCGCAGGUGGUUAUGAGGGUCAUAUGUAAAAUACCCGGGCUCAACCUGGGAAAGAGAUAUGAAACUUCGGAACUGGAGUACAGGAGAGGGCAGUGGAAUUUCCGGUGUAGCGGUGAAAUGCGUAGAUAUCGGAAGGAACACCGGUGGCGAAGGCGGCUGCCUGGCCUGAUACUGACACUGAGGCACGAAAGCGUGGGGAGCAAACAGG
RNAcentral lists this ribosomal RNA (253 nucleotides) under uncultured bacterium. RNAcentral describes it as "partial 16S ribosomal RNA". It matches the Rfam family "Bacterial small subunit ribosomal RNA", at positions 524 to 776 of the family's 1533-position model. The record is from RNAcentral.